RNAcentral lists this ribosomal RNA (468 nucleotides) under uncultured bacterium. RNAcentral describes it as "partial 16S ribosomal RNA". It matches the Rfam family "Bacterial small subunit ribosomal RNA", at positions 28 to 507 of the family's 1533-position model. The record is from RNAcentral.
GACGAACGCUGGCGGCGUGCUUAGCACAUGCAAGUCGAACGGAAAGGCCCUGCUUUUGUGGGGUGCUCGAGUGGCGAACGGGUGAGUAACACGUGAGUAACCUGCCCUUGACUUUGGGAUAACUUCAGGAAACUGGGGCUAAUACCGGAUAGGAGCUCCUGCUGCAUGGUGGGGGUUGGAAAGUUUCGGCGGUUGGGGAUGGACUCGCGGCUUAUCAGCUUGUUGGUGGGGUAGUGGCUUACCAAGGCUUUGACGGGUAGCCGGCCUGAGAGGGUGACCGGCCACAUUGGGACUGAGAUACGGCCCAGACUCCUACGUGAGGCAGCAGUGGGGAAUAUUGCACAAUGGGCGGAAGCCUGAUGCAGCAACGCCGCGUGCGGGAUGACGGCCUUCGGGUUGUAAACCGCUUUCGCCUGUGACGAAGCGUGAGUGACGGUAAUGGGUAAAGAAGCACCGGCUAACUACGUG